AUUGAACGCUGGCGGCAUGCUUUACACAUGCAAGUCGAACGGCAGCACAGGGAGCUUGCUCCCGGGUGGCGAGUGGCGCACGGGUGAGUAAUACAUCGGAACGUGUCCUAUUGUGGGGGAUAACUGCUCGAAAGGGUGGCUAAUACCGCAUGAGACCUGAGGGUGAAAGCGGGGGAUCGCAAGACCUCGCGCAAUUGGAGCGGCCGAUGCCCGAUUAGCUAGUUGGUGAGGUAAAGGCUCACCAAGGCGACGAUCGGUAGCUGGUCUGAGAGGACGACCAGCCACACUGGGACUGAGACACGGCCCAGACUCCUACGGGAGGCAGCAGUGGGGAAUUUUGGACAAUGGGGGCAACCCUGAUCCAGCCAUGCCGCGUGCAGGAUGAAGGCCUUCGGGUUGUAAACUGCUUUUGUCAGGGACGAAAAGGAUCGUGUUAAUACCAUGGUCUGCUGACGGUACCUGAAGAAUAAGCACCGGCUAACUACGUGCCAGCAGCCGCGGUAAUACGUAGGGUGCAAGCGUUAAUCGGAAUUACUGGGCGUAAAGCGUGCGCAGGCGGUUCUGUAAGACAGAUGUGAAAUCCCCGGGCUCAACCUGGGAAUUGCAUUUGUGACUGCAGGACUAGAGUUCAUCAGAGGGGGGUGGAAUUCCAAGUGUAGCAGUGAAAUGCGUAGAUAUUUGGAAGAACACCAAUGGCGAAGGCAGCCCCCUGGGAUGCGACUGACGCUCAUGCACGAAAGCGUGGGGAGCAAACAGG
RNAcentral lists this ribosomal RNA (757 nucleotides) under uncultured bacterium. RNAcentral describes it as "bacterial SSU rRNA". It matches the Rfam family "Bacterial small subunit ribosomal RNA", at positions 28 to 776 of the family's 1533-position model. The record is from RNAcentral.